UUUCCGUAGGUGAACCUGCGGAAGGAUCAUUACUGAGUUAGGGUCUUUAUGGCCCGACCUCCAACCCUUUGUUUAAUCUACCAUGUUGCUUUGGCAGGCCCGCUUAGAAAUGGGCCGCCGGAGACCUUUGAGUCUCUGGUCAGUGCCCGCCAGUAGCCUUUCUAAAUUCAUUUAUAACCGUGUCUGAAUAUACAAAGAAAAAUUAAAAUACAACUUUCAACAACGGAUCUCUUGGCUCUC
RNAcentral lists this unclassified non-coding RNA (240 nucleotides) under plant metagenome. Its description in RNAcentral is "partial contains small subunit ribosomal RNA, internal transcribed spacer 1, and 5.8S ribosomal RNA". The record is from RNAcentral.